GUUUUGGUAGUUUAAUAGAAAACCUCGGUCUUGUAAACCGAAGAUGAAUACACUUCCCAAAUCA
This 64-nucleotide transfer RNA is filed under the name Amphionides reynaudii. RNAcentral describes it as "tRNA-Thr". It matches the Rfam family "tRNA". From Rfam's summary of the family: Transfer RNA (tRNA) molecules are approximately 80 nucleotides in length. Their secondary structure includes four short double-helical elements and three loops (D, anti-codon, and T loops). Further hydrogen bonds mediate the characteristic L-shaped molecular structure. tRNAs have two regions of fundamental functional importance: the anti-codon, which is responsible for specific mRNA codon recognition, and the 3' end, to which the tRNAs corresponding amino acid is attached (by aminoacyl-tRNA synthetases). tRNAs cope with the degeneracy of the genetic code in two manners: having more than one tRNA (with a specific anti-codon) for a particular amino acid; and 'wobble' base-pairing, i.e. permitting non-standard base-pairing at the 3rd anti-codon position. Lineage: Eukaryota; Metazoa; Arthropoda; Malacostraca; Decapoda; Pandalidae. The record is from RNAcentral.